AUCGCUUCUCGGCCUUUUGGCUAAGAUCAAGUGUAGUAUCUGUUCUUAUCAGUUUAAUAUCUGAUACGUCCUCUAUCCGAGGACAAUAUAUUAAAUGGAUUUUUGGAGCAGGGAGAUGGAAUAGGAGCUUGCUCCGUCCACUCACAUCGACCUGGUAUUGCAGUACCUCCAGGAACGGUGCACCCCUC
This 188-nucleotide small nuclear RNA is filed under the name Macaca fascicularis (crab-eating macaque). RNAcentral describes it as "U2 spliceosomal RNA (ENSMFAG00000054202.1)". It matches the Rfam family "U2 spliceosomal RNA". From Rfam's summary of the family: U2 is a small nuclear RNA (snRNA) component of the spliceosome (involved in pre-mRNA splicing). Complementary binding between U2 snRNA (in an area lying towards the 5' end but 3' to hairpin I) and the branchpoint sequence (BPS) of the intron results the bulging out of an unpaired adenosine, on the BPS, which initiates a nucleophilic attack at the intronic 5' splice site, thus starting the first of two transesterification reactions that mediate splicing. The record is from Rfam by way of RNAcentral. Lineage: Eukaryota; Metazoa; Chordata; Mammalia; Primates; Cercopithecidae.